AUGGGGCGAAGGUCAAGACGGUCCGAACGCGGACGAGCCGACGCCGGAGAAGCCGGCUGUCGCCGCAGUCAGAGCCGCCGAGCCACCAUGAAGCCGCCACGACACCGAGAGGCCACCACCAACGCCGGACCUCCCGCGCCGCCGUCCACGGCCAGAGCAACGGCCACGCCUGGCCGCUGCCCACCCGCGUCGCCCGACAAGCGUCGGAGCAGCCGGGCACGCACCACUGAUGCCAUACGCCGGAGCGCCAGCCACCACCAUAGAGCAUGCGCAUGCACGCCCUGGCCAACACCACCAAAAGCCCCACCACCCCACAGGAGAAGCACAGCCACCAGCAAGUCAGCAACACCACCACCACCUUAG
Molecule: ribosomal RNA, 363 nt
Filed under: Triticum aestivum (bread wheat)
Lineage: Eukaryota; Viridiplantae; Streptophyta; Magnoliopsida; Poales; Poaceae
Description: partial small subunit ribosomal RNA
Source: RNAcentral